UAAACGACUCUCGGCAACGGAUAUCUCGGCUCACGCAUCGAUGAAGAACGUAGCAAAAUGCGAUACUUGGUGUGAAUUGCAGAAUCCCGUGAACCAUCGAGUUUUUGAACGCAAGUUGCGCCCAAAGCCUUUCGGCCGAGGGCACGUCUGCCUGGGCGUCACAC
This 164-nucleotide ribosomal RNA is filed under the name Sinacalia tangutica. RNAcentral's name for it is "5.8S ribosomal RNA". It matches the Rfam family "5.8S ribosomal RNA". From Rfam's summary of the family: 5.8S ribosomal RNA (5.8S rRNA) is a component of the large subunit of the eukaryotic ribosome. It is transcribed by RNA polymerase I as part of the 45S precursor that also contains 18S and 28S rRNA. Functionally, it is thought that 5.8S rRNA may be involved in ribosome translocation. RNAcentral also lists the same sequence under 1 other name. The record is from RNAcentral. Lineage: Eukaryota; Viridiplantae; Streptophyta; Magnoliopsida; Asterales; Asteraceae.